Molecule: ribosomal RNA, 468 nt
Filed under: uncultured bacterium
Lineage: Bacteria
Description: partial 16S ribosomal RNA
Rfam family: Bacterial small subunit ribosomal RNA
Source: RNAcentral
GACGAACGCUGGCGGCGUGCUUAACACAUGCAAGUCGAACGGAAAGGCCCUGCUUUUGUGGGGUGCUCGAGCGGCGAACGGGUGAGUAACACGUGAGUAACCUGCCCUUGACUUUGGGAUAACUUCAGGAAACUGGGGCUAAUACCGGAUAGGAGCUCCUGCUGCAUGGUGGGGGUUGGAAAGUUUCGGCGGUUGGGGAUGGACUCGCGGCUUAUCAGCUUGUUGGUGGGGUAGUGGCUUACCAAGGCUUUGACGGGUAGCCGGCCUGAGAGGGUGACCGGCCACAUUGGGGCUGAGAUACGGCCCAGACUCCUACGGGAGGCAGCAGUGGGGAAUAUUGCACAAUGGGCGGAAGCCUGAUGCAGCAACGCCGCGUGCGGGAUGACGGCCUUCGGGUUGUAAACCGCUUUCGCCUGUGACGAAGCGUGAGUGACGGUAAUGGGUAAAGAAGCACCGGCUAACUACGUG